Molecule: small nucleolar RNA, 69 nt
Filed under: Monopterus albus (swamp eel)
Lineage: Eukaryota; Metazoa; Chordata; Actinopteri; Synbranchiformes; Synbranchidae
Description: Small nucleolar RNA SNORD24 (ENSMALG00000012270.1)
Rfam family: Small nucleolar RNA SNORD24
About the family: U24 is a member of the C/D class of snoRNA which contain the C (UGAUGA) and D (CUGA) box motifs.
Source: RNAcentral
UGCGAGUGAUGUGAAAGAAAAUGUAUCUGAACAGCUGUGCUGACCUUUUCCACCAAGAUCACUGAUGCG